UUAGAGUUUGAUCCUGGCUCAGGAUGAACUCUAGCGGCAGGCCUAAUACAUGCAAGUCGAACGGUAAACGCCCUUCGGGGCGUGAGAGUGGCGCACGGGUGCGUAACGCGUAUGCAACCCACCCCCUGCAGGGGUAUAGCCCGGAGAAAUCCGGAUUAACCCCCCAUGAGGAGCGGGAGAGGCAUCUCUCCCGUUUCAAAACUACGGUGGCGGGGGACGGGCAUGCGUCCCAUUAGGUAGUCGGCGGGGCAACGGCCCACCGAGCCUGUGAUGGGUAGGGGAUCUGAGAGGACGGUCCCCCACACUGGUACUGAGACACGGACCAGACUCCUACGGGAGGCAGCAGUAAGGGAUAUUGGUCAAUGGGCGGUAGCCUGAACCAGCCAUGCCGCGUGAGGGAUGAAGGCCCUACGGGUCGCAGACCUCUUUUGCCGGGGGAUAACGUGCCCAACGCGUUGGGCAGUGAAGGUACCCGGAGAAUAAGCAUCGGCUAACUCCGUGCCAGCAGCCGCGGUAAUACGGAGGAUGCGAGCGUUAUCCGGAUUUAUUGGGUUUAAAGGGUGCGCAGGCGGCGUGCUAAGUCAGCGGUGAAAGGCGACGGCUCAACCGGAGCAGUGCCGUUGAUACUGGCGUGCUUGAAUGCGGUCGAGGCCGGCGGAAUGUGGCGUGUAGCGGUGAAAUGCAUAGAUAUGCCACAGAACCCCGAUAGCGAAGGCAGCUGGCCGGGCCUGCAUUGACGCUGAGGCACGAAAGCGUGGGGAUCGAACAGGAUUAGAUACCCUGGUAGUCCACGCCGUAAACGAUGGACACUCGUCGUCGGCACCAGACAUUCGGCGCACAAGCGAAAGUGAUAAAGUGUCCCACCUGGGGAGUACGGUCGCUAGGCUGAAAACUCAAAGGAAUUGACGGGGGCCCGCACAAGCAGUGGAGCAUGUGGUUUAAUUCGAUGAUACGCGAGGAACCUUACCCGGGUUAGAACGCAGUUCGAACGACGCGGAGACGCGGAGGCCCUUCGGGGCGGGCUGCGAGGAACAGCAUGGUAGUCGUCAGCUCGUGCCGUGAGGUGUCAGGUCAAGUCCUAUAACGAGCGCAACCCCUACCCUCGGUUGCCAAGGGGUCGAGCUGGGCACUCCGGGGGCACUGCCCGCGCAAGCGGCGAGGAAGGCGGGGAUGACGUCAAAUCAGCACGGCCCUUACGUCCGGGGCGACGCACGUGCUACAAUGGCACGCACAGAGGGGAGCCACGCGGCGACGCGGAGCGGAUCCCGAAAGCGCGUCUCAGUCCGGAUCGGAGUCUGCAACCCGACUCAGUGAAGCUGGAAUCGCUAGUAA
RNAcentral lists this ribosomal RNA (1332 nucleotides) under uncultured bacterium. RNAcentral describes it as "bacterial SSU rRNA". It matches the Rfam family "Bacterial small subunit ribosomal RNA", at positions 1 to 1341 of the family's 1533-position model. The record is from RNAcentral.